UGAGAUCAAACGUUUAUAAUUCUAUUUUUUAUCAUGUUAAUAUAAUUUUUUGCUGAUUUUUUUAAAAGCCUCGUGAAUAAAAGAUAAUGAUUUGUUUGAACGAGAUCGAAGAAAUAGAUAAUACAAAAAACAAGUAAUUCAAAAAAAAAAAGAAAAAAGUAAAUAAAAUAAUAGAGUGAAAAUAAGAAAAAUAAAAAAGUAAAUACGAUAGGACAAAUACGAAAACGGGGUCGUUUUUAUCUCGCUCGCACGCGGUUUGGCC
RNAcentral lists this long non-coding RNA (262 nucleotides) under Vigna radiata. Its description in RNAcentral is "long non-coding RNA (VRAD_LNC018340)". The record is from RNAcentral. Lineage: Eukaryota; Viridiplantae; Streptophyta; Magnoliopsida; Fabales; Fabaceae.